UAGCUCAGUUGGUAGAGCAUGGUGUUUGCAACGCCAGGGUUGUGGGUUCGAUUCUCAU
This 58-nucleotide transfer RNA is filed under the name Salmo salar (Atlantic salmon). It matches the Rfam family "tRNA", at positions 8 to 63 of the family's 71-position model. From Rfam's summary of the family: Transfer RNA (tRNA) molecules are approximately 80 nucleotides in length. Their secondary structure includes four short double-helical elements and three loops (D, anti-codon, and T loops). RNAcentral also lists the same sequence under 1 other name. Lineage: Eukaryota; Metazoa; Chordata; Actinopteri; Salmoniformes; Salmonidae. The record is from Rfam by way of RNAcentral.